This 75-nucleotide small nucleolar RNA is filed under the name Olea europaea subsp. europaea. RNAcentral's name for it is "Small nucleolar RNA R66". It matches the Rfam family "Small nucleolar RNA R66". From Rfam's summary of the family: snoR66 is a C/D box small nucleolar RNA, which acts as a methylation guide for 18S ribosomal RNA in plants. snoR66 has been alternatively named snoZ269 in rice. Lineage: Eukaryota; Viridiplantae; Streptophyta; Magnoliopsida; Lamiales; Oleaceae. The record is from Rfam by way of RNAcentral.
UCCGAUGAUGGCAUGAAAUCUUUGAGACCUGAUUGUCUAAUUUGAUGACAACUACAAGCAUUUUCUUCUGAGGAU